AUUUUUGGCUGAUUUCUCCUGAUUUUUUUCCGUCUCUUUGUUGAUUUUGUGCCUGAUUCUUUGCAGUCCACCAUUUGUUUUCAAGAAUCUAAUUUUCUUAAUUUCUUUCGUUUCCUUUUGCAUUGUUUUCUUGGAUAAUGAAGGAGAGCAUGGAAAAUCCCCUCCAUCUCAAGUCCUUGAAUCACAUCUCGCUUUUGUGCAGAUCAGUUGAGGAAUCCAUUGAUUUCUAUCAGAAUGUUCUUGGGUUUGUGCCAAUUAGGAGGCCAGGAUCUUUUGACUUUGAUGGAGCUUGGCUAUUUGGCUAUGGAAUUGGAAUUCAUCUAUUGCAAUCAGAAGAUCCAAAGAACAUGCCCAAGAAAAGUAAUAUUAAUCCCAAAGACAAUCAUAUUUCUUUCCAGUGUGAAAGCAUGGGGGCAGUGGAGAA
Molecule: unclassified non-coding RNA, 424 nt
Filed under: Hevea brasiliensis (rubber tree)
Lineage: Eukaryota; Viridiplantae; Streptophyta; Magnoliopsida; Malpighiales; Euphorbiaceae
Source: RNAcentral